This 425-nucleotide ribosomal RNA is filed under the name uncultured bacterium. RNAcentral's name for it is "partial 16S ribosomal RNA". It matches the Rfam family "Bacterial small subunit ribosomal RNA", at positions 354 to 796 of the family's 1533-position model. The record is from RNAcentral.
GUGGGGAAUCUUAGACAAUGGGCGCAAGCCUGAUCUAGCCAUGCCGCGUGAGCGAUGAAGGCCUUAGGGUUGUAAAGCUCUUUCGUGGGGGAAGAUAAUGACUGUACCCCAAGAAGAAGCCCCGGCUAACUCCGUGCCAGCAGCCGCGGUAAUACGGAGGGGGCUAGCGUUGUUCGGAAUUACUGGGCGUAAAGCGCACGUAGGCGGACUGGAAAGUCAGGGGUGAAAUCCCGGGGCUCAACCCCGGAACUGCCUUUGAAACUCCCAGUCUUGAGUUCGAGAGAGGUGAGUGGAAUUCCGAGUGUAGAGGUGAAAUUCGUAGAUAUUCGGAGGAACACCAGUGGCGAAGGCGGCUCACUGGCUCGAUACUGACGCUGAGGUGCGAAAGCGUGGGUAUCAAACAGGAUUAGAUACCCCGGUAGUCC